UCGGUGAUCUGGGACUGCCUGCUUGCGUGGCGGCUCUGGGUAGGAGUGUUGGCACAGGGGCGGUGGGUGGUGGGCAUUACUGUCGGGCGUGGGUGGUCUCCUCUGCAUCUGCAGGGCGUGAGGCUGUGGGUUUGUGGUGUGUGGCCUCAGCAGAUGUGUUGGGGAGGCUUCAUGCUCUGUGAGUAACAACAAUUCUGUCAGUUAUUGCCACCUUACUAUGCGCUUUACAUGCCUUAGUUCACUUGAUCAUCUCAGUGAGUUUUCCUCAUUGUUUCAUUUAUAGAUGAGGAAGGUGAGACACAGAGAGGUCAAGUAACUCUCUUGAUGUCACACAGCUGCUUUAAAUCCAGGCCGUCUGACACCAGGACAGACAAUAUCUGAGCCACGUUGUGGGGCAGGAAGGAGCCGGUCUGGGGAAGAGGAACCCGCUACAUCCAUGUCCACUUUGGUGUCCUGAGGUAGCAGGUCUGGAAUGAGGGUAGCUUUUCCCGCCCGUCUCCCUGCACAGCAGCAUGGCAGCUUGCAGCAGGAGCAUUAGGCGAAGAAACAGAAACCCACUAGCAGCUGCUGAGACAG
This is a long non-coding RNA of Neofelis nebulosa (Clouded leopard), 576 nucleotides long. RefSeq lists it as uncharacterized. Lineage: Eukaryota; Metazoa; Chordata; Mammalia; Carnivora; Felidae. The transcript has 2 exons. The record is from RefSeq and is a predicted model, not a curated record.